GGGAGGGCCCCCUCAGUGGUGCCACUGUCCAGCUAGAGGUUGGCUGCUGGAAGACUCCGCUUCUCUAGAAUUUCAAGAGGACUUCUGCUCCGAGUGGUCUAACUUCUAUCUUCUCCACGGGCCAACACUUCGAGACAAGUGAUCCAGAGAGAGAAAGAGAAAGAAGAUCUCCUGAAAAGGCCAGUAUUUCAGUGUGAAAUAUGAGUGAGCAAGCAAAAUCAGCAUCCAAACCUAAAGAAGAAGGAGAUGAUCAAGAGUUUUCACACUUGGUUGAACCUAUGACUGCCCAGCAGCCCAGUGAUGAGCAACUUGAACAAGCAGAGCCACCAGUUGAGAAUCAGGAUAUUAUACCUGGUCAAGAGCCAGAAGAUGCAAGAGUAUCUGAGGUGCAAGGGCCUGUCCUGGAGGCUGAGCCACAGGAACCGACUCUGGAAGACACUAGGGAUCAGUGUGGAGAUGGUCCUAACAUCAUGGAGCACAUUCUAUCAAAUUUGGAGCCUGUUACAGUGCCGGAAGCAGGUGAAGGGCAACCUUACCUGUAAAUGAAGACAAGCAGAAGCCAUGCACCAUACAUGCUGUCCUUAUUUUGGAAAUUGGACUAUUUAAGUCCUCUCAAUAAAGUUUGACAGUUUUCUCAAAAAGAAU
This is a long non-coding RNA of Eptesicus fuscus (big brown bat), 645 nucleotides long. RefSeq lists it as uncharacterized. The record is from RefSeq and is a predicted model, not a curated record. Lineage: Eukaryota; Metazoa; Chordata; Mammalia; Chiroptera; Vespertilionidae. The transcript has 6 exons.